UACGUAUGGUGCAAGCGUUAUCCGGAUUUACUGGGUGUAAAGGGUGCGUAGGUGGUAUGGCAAGUCAGAAGUGAAAACACGGGGCUCAACCCCGUGACUGCUUUUGAAACUGUCAGACUAGAGUACAGGAGAGGAAAGCGGAAUUCCUAGUGUAGCGGUGAAAUGCGUAGAUAUUAGGAGGAACACCAGUGGCGAAGGCGGCUUUCUGGACUGAAACUGACACUGAGGCACGAAAGCGUGGGGAGCAAACAGG
RNAcentral lists this ribosomal RNA (253 nucleotides) under uncultured bacterium. RNAcentral describes it as "partial 16S ribosomal RNA". It matches the Rfam family "Bacterial small subunit ribosomal RNA", at positions 524 to 776 of the family's 1533-position model. The record is from RNAcentral.